Molecule: unclassified non-coding RNA, 335 nt
Filed under: soil metagenome
Description: partial contains 5.8S ribosomal RNA, internal transcribed spacer 2, and large subunit ribosomal RNA
Rfam family: 5.8S ribosomal RNA (bases 1-120)
Source: RNAcentral
GAUGAAGAACGUAGCGAAAUGCGAUAAGUAGUGUGAAUUGCAGAAUUCAGUGAAUCAUCGAAUCUUUGAACGCACAUUGCGCCCCUUGGUAUUCCAUGGGGCAUGCCUGUUCGAGCGUCAUUUGUACCUUCAAGCUUUGCUUGGUGUUGGGUGUUUGUCUCGCCUUUGCGUGUAGACUCGCCUUAAAAUAAUUGGCAGCCGGCGUAUUGAUUUCGGAGCGCAGUACAUCUCGCGCUUUGCACUCAUAACGACAGCGUCCAAAAGUACAUUUUACACUCUUGACCUCGGAUCAGGUAGGGAUACCCGCUGAACGUAAGCAUAUCAAUAAGGGAGGA